Non-coding RNA from Marchantia polymorpha subsp. ruderalis, 114 nucleotides. Lineage: Eukaryota; Viridiplantae; Streptophyta; Marchantiopsida; Marchantiales; Marchantiaceae. The record is from the annotation of a GenBank genome assembly.
UCAACGAGUGUAUUCUACUCCUAAGGUUGGGAUGAAGUAUCUGGUUUGAACUUGUUAUGUACCUGAUUCUGAACGUAGAUACUUCAUCCCAACCCAAGGCGUAGAAUGUGUUGA